RNAcentral lists this unclassified non-coding RNA (275 nucleotides) under fungal sp. RNAcentral's name for it is "partial internal transcribed spacer region". The stretch from base 1 to 46 matches the Rfam family "Eukaryotic small subunit ribosomal RNA", at positions 1786 to 1831 of the family's 1831-position model. The record is from RNAcentral. Lineage: Eukaryota; Fungi.
AAGUCGUAACAAGGUUUCCGUAGGUGAACCUGCGGAAGGAUCAUUACCAAAUCCAUCCAAUUACCGACCCACGUGUGAACCGACAAACAGUCUUUGGGAGCUGUGCUCUUUUGUGCGGCUCCCGCAUUUAUUUUGAACCACGUUGUCUUUUGGCAGAGUAAAAACGGACCUUGCUUUUUUGUCUUUUUCGUCUUUUUGACGGAAAAAAUGAAGAAAAAAGGAACAAAAAACAACUCAAUCAAAAACAACUUUUAACGGUGGAUCUCUUGGCUCGU